CGCGUGAGGGAUUAAGGCCCUGCGGGUCGUAAACCUCUUUUGCCGGGGAGCAGUGGUCCGGACGCGUCCGGGCCGGGAGAGUACCCGGAGAAAAAGCAUCGGCUAACUCCGUGCCAGCAGCCGCGGUAAUACGGAGGAUGCGAGCGUUAUCCGGAUUUAUUGGGUUUAAAGGGUGCGUAGGCGGGCAUUUAAGCCGGCGGUCAAAUGUCGGGGCUCAACCCCGGCCUGCCGUCGGAACUGGGUGCCUUGAGUGGGCGAGAAGUAUGCGGAAUGCGUGGUGUAGCGGUGAAAUGCAUAGAUAUCACGCAGAACCCCGAUUGCGAAGGCAGCAUACCGGCGCCCUACUGACGCUGAGGCACGAAAGUGCGGGUAUCGAACAGGAUUAGAUACCCUGGUAGUCCGCACAGUAAACGAUGGAUGCUAUCUGUCCGGGCCGAAUGAGGCCUGG
Molecule: ribosomal RNA, 448 nt
Filed under: uncultured bacterium
Lineage: Bacteria
Description: bacterial SSU rRNA
Rfam family: Bacterial small subunit ribosomal RNA
Source: RNAcentral